AACGAACGCUGGCGGCAGGCCUAACACAUGCAAGUCGAACGAAGCCUUCGGGCUUAGUGGCGGACGGGUUAGUAACGCGUGGGAACGUGCCUUUCACUACGGAAUAGUCCCGGGAAACUGGGUUUAAUACCGUAUACGCCCUUCGGGGGAAAGAAUUUCGGUGAAAGAUCGGCCCGCGUUAGAUUAGGUAGUUGGUGGGGUAAUGGCCUACCAAGCCUACGAUCUAUAGCUGGUUUUAGAGGAUGAUCAGCAACACUGGGACUGAGACACGGCCCAGACUCCUACGGGAGGCAGCAGUGGGGAAUCUUGGACAAUGGGCGCAAGCCUGAUCCAGCCAUGCCGCGUGAGUGAUGAAGGCCUUAGGGUCGUAAAGCUCUUUCGCCAGGGAUGAUAAU
Molecule: ribosomal RNA, 395 nt
Filed under: Roseovarius pacificus
Lineage: Bacteria; Pseudomonadati; Pseudomonadota; Alphaproteobacteria; Rhodobacterales; Roseobacteraceae
Description: bacterial SSU rRNA
Rfam family: Bacterial small subunit ribosomal RNA
Source: RNAcentral